AUUGAACGCUGGCGGCAGGCUUAACACAUGCAAGUCGAGCGAGCGGCGGACGGGUGAGUAAUGUCUGGGACACUGCCUGAUGGAGGGGGAUAACUACUGGACACGGUAGCUAAUCCCGCAUAACAUCAGCUGUGCCCAGAUGGGAUGAGAUAGUAGGUGGGGUAAUGGCUCACCUAGGCGACGAUCCCUAGCUGGUCUGAGAGGAUGACCAGCCACACGGGAACUGAGACACGGGCCAGACUCCUACGGGAGGCAGCAGUGGGGAAUAUUGCACAAUGGGCGCAAGCCUGAUGCAGCCAUGCCGCGUGUGUGAAGAAGGCCUUCGGGUUGUAAAGUACUUUCAGCGAGGAGGCGUUACUCGCAGAAGAAGCACCGGCUAACUCCGUGCCAGCAGCCGCGGUAAUAC
Molecule: ribosomal RNA, 406 nt
Filed under: uncultured bacterium
Lineage: Bacteria
Description: partial 16S ribosomal RNA
Rfam family: Bacterial small subunit ribosomal RNA
Source: RNAcentral